This 711-nucleotide ribosomal RNA is filed under the name uncultured Pseudomonadota bacterium. RNAcentral describes it as "bacterial SSU rRNA". It matches the Rfam family "Bacterial small subunit ribosomal RNA", at positions 29 to 734 of the family's 1533-position model. The record is from RNAcentral. Lineage: Bacteria; Pseudomonadati; Pseudomonadota.
UUGAACGCUGGCGGCAGGCUUAACACAUGCAAGUCGAGCGGGCGAGGUUGCUUCGGUAACUGAGCUAGCGGCGGACGGGUGAGUAAUGCUUAGGAAUCUGCCUAUUAGUGGGGGACAACAUUCCGAAAGGAAUGCUAAUACCGCAUACGCCCUACGGGGGAAAGCAGGGGAUCUUCGGACCUUGCGCUAAUAGAUGAGCCUAAGUCAGAUUAGCUAGUUGGUGGGGUAAAGGCCUACCAAGGCGACGAUCUGUAGCGGGUCUGAGAGGAUGAUCCGCCACACUGGGACUGAGACACGGCCCAGACUCCUACGGGAGGCAGCAGUGGGGAAUAUUGGACAAUGGGCGAAAGCCUGAUCCAGCCAUGCCGCGUGUGUGAAGAAGGCCUUUUGGUUGUAAAGCACUUUAAGCGAGGAGGAGGCUACCGAGAUUAAUACUCUUGGAUAGUGGACGUUACUCGCAGAAUAAGCACCGGCUAACUCUGUGCCAGCAGCCGCGGUAAUACAGAGGGUGCGAGCGUUAAUCGGAUUUACUGGGCGUAAAGCGUGCGUAGGCGGCUUCUUAAGUCGGAUGUGAAAUCCCUGAGCUUAACUUAGGAAUUGCAUUCGAUACUGGGAAGCUAGAGUAUGGGAGAGGAUGGUAGAAUUCCAGGUGUAGCGGUGAAAUGCGUAGAGAUCUGGAGGAAUACCGAUGGCGAAGGCAGCCAUCUGGCC